Molecule: ribosomal RNA, 229 nt
Filed under: uncultured bacterium
Lineage: Bacteria
Description: partial 16S ribosomal RNA
Rfam family: Bacterial small subunit ribosomal RNA
Source: RNAcentral
UCCGUAGGCGGGCAAUCAAGUCAGAGGUGAAAUCCCACAGCUCAACUGUGGAACUGCCUUUGAUACUGGUUGUCUUGAGUUAUAGUGAAGUAGAUAGAAUAUGUAGUGUAGCGGUGAAAUGCAUAGAUAUUACAUAGAAUACCGAUUGCGAAGGCAGUCUACUAACUGUAUACUGACGCUAAUGGACGAAAGCGUGGGGAGCGAACAGGAUUAGAUACCCUGGUAGUCC